Molecule: long non-coding RNA, 413 nt
Filed under: Bos mutus (wild yak)
Lineage: Eukaryota; Metazoa; Chordata; Mammalia; Artiodactyla; Bovidae
Description: lncRNA (ENSBMUG00000004447.1)
Source: RNAcentral
GGGGACGCCGCGGGAGAUGGUACAGUCCACCCCUCGGGCUGCCCACCGCCCCCCUCCUCCGCGGUUCAAGUUUCUGCGGCCGGAGGACGCGGCCUCCGCCAAUCCCAGGGCUACAGGACGCUUUUAAAAUGCAGGGCUGUGUGUGUCCAUUUAAAGCCACACAAAUGCUUUGGAGAGCCAGCUAGGGUGACAGCCAGUGCACUUAGUAGACAAAAUGAUUCCCGAUCACAUGGUCUGUGAACCUGGAAAAUGGUGCCUGGAACCCUACUGCCCAGCUUAAGGAAUCACCGAUGUCACUGGCCCCUGAAGCCCCUCCCAGGUCACCUGGCCAGCCCACCUGACCCCAGAGUGAGCACGAUCCUAAAUGUUGCAUUGCUUGUUCCUGUAUCUCAUAGUGCUAUAUUUCCCCCUUG